Molecule: microRNA, 19 nt
Filed under: Corchorus capsularis
Lineage: Eukaryota; Viridiplantae; Streptophyta; Magnoliopsida; Malvales; Malvaceae
Description: sRNA CCACVL1_30555
Source: RNAcentral
CAAUGCUACAACAAUGCAC